This 800-nucleotide ribosomal RNA is filed under the name uncultured bacterium. RNAcentral's name for it is "bacterial SSU rRNA". It matches the Rfam family "Bacterial small subunit ribosomal RNA", at positions 8 to 810 of the family's 1533-position model. The record is from RNAcentral.
AGAGUUUGAUCAUGGCUCAGAACGAACGUUGGCGGCGUGGAUUAGGCAUGCAAGUCGAACGAAUCCCAGUGGGGGUAACUCUGCUGGGGGAAGUGGCGAAAGGGGCAGUAAUGCGUGGACAACCUGCCCUCGAGACGGGGAUAGCCAUUCUAACGAAUGGGUAAUACCCGGAGACCCGGUAGGGGGGCAUCCCCCAGCCGGCAAAUGAGUUUCGCUCGAGGAGGGGUUCACGUGCUAUUAGCUUGUUGGCGGGGUAAUGGCCCACCAAGGCUAAGAUGGCUAGCAGGUGUGAGAGCACGACCUGCGCCACUGGCACUGAGACACUGGCCAGACUCCUACGGGAGGCUGCAGUCGAGGAUCUUCGGCAAUGGGCGCAAGCCUGACCGAGCGACGCCGCGUGUGUGAUGAAGGCCUUCGGGUUGUAAAGCACUGUCGAGGGGGAGGAAAGCCCGCAAGGGUUUGACCUAUCCCUGGAGGAAGCACGGGCUAAGUUCGUGCCAGCAGCCGCGGUAAGACGAACCGUGCAAACGUUGUUCGGAAUCACUGGGCUUAAAGGGCGCGUAGGCGGGUUCUCAAGUCGGGGGUGAAAACUUGCGGCUCAACCGUAAGAGUGCCUUCGAUACUGGGAGUCUUGAGGGAGGUAGGGGUCGAUGGAACUGGUGGUGGAGCGGUGAAAUGCGUAGAUAUCACUAGGAACGCCGGUGGCGAAAGCGAUCGACUGGACCUCUUCUGACGCUGAGGCGCGAAAGCCAGGGGAGCGAACGGGAUUAGAUACCCCGGUAGUCCUGGCCCUAAACGAU